Molecule: ribosomal RNA, 464 nt
Filed under: uncultured bacterium
Lineage: Bacteria
Description: partial 16S ribosomal RNA
Rfam family: Bacterial small subunit ribosomal RNA
Source: RNAcentral
CUACGGGGGGCUCCAGUGAGGAGUUUUGCGCAAUGGGGGAAACCCUGACGCAGCAACGCCGCGUGAGCGAAGAAGGCCUUCGGGUCGUAAAGCUCUGUCAAGUGGGAAAAACGUUUUCCGGUGAAUAGCCGGGAGAUCUGAUGGUACCGCUGAAGGAAGCACCGGCUAACUCCGUGCCAGCAGCCGCGGUAAUACGGAGGGUGCAAGCGUUGUUCGGAAUUAUUGGGCGUAAAGAGCGUGUAGGCGGUUUAGUAAGUCAGAUGUGAAAGCCCUGGGCUUAACCCAGGAAGUGCAUUUGAAACUGCUUUACUUGAGUAUGGGAGAGGAGAGUGGAAUUCCUGGUGUAGAGGUGAAAUUCGUAGAUAUCAGGAGGAACAUCUGUGGCGAAGGCGACUCUCUGGACCAAUACUGACGCUGAGACGCGAAAGCGUGGGUAGCAAACAGGAUUAGAUACCCUCGUAGUC